RNAcentral lists this ribosomal RNA (468 nucleotides) under uncultured bacterium. RNAcentral describes it as "partial 16S ribosomal RNA". It matches the Rfam family "Bacterial small subunit ribosomal RNA", at positions 28 to 507 of the family's 1533-position model. The record is from RNAcentral.
GACGAACGCUGGCGGCGUGCUUAACACAUGCAAGUCGAACGGAAAGGCCCUGCUUUUGUGGGGUGCUCGAGUGGCGAACGGGUGAGUAACACGUGAGUAAUCUGCCCUUGACUUUGGGAUAACUUCAGGAAACUGGGGCUAAUACCGGAUAGGAGCUCCUGCUGCAUGGUGGGGGUUGGAAAGUUUCGGCGGUUGGGGAUGGACUCGCGGCUUAUCAGCUUGUUGGUGGGGUAGUGGCUUACCAAGGCUUUGACGGGUAGCCGGCCUGAGAGGGUGACCGGCCACAUUGGGACUGAGAUACGGCCCAGACCCCUACGGGAGGCAGCAGUGGGGAAUAUUGCACAAUGGGCGGAAGCCUGAUGCAGCAACGCCGCGUGCGGGAUGACGGCCUUCGGGUUGUAAACCGCUUUCGCCUGUGACGAAGCGUGAGUGACGGUAAUGGGUAAAGAAGCACCGGCUAACUACGUG